GCUGGGGGGCGGCCGGUGGAGGGGAGAGCACGGGAGAGGCCGUCGGGGCCGAGUCCCCUCCGCCGGGACCCCGCGGGCCAGCAGCGCCCAUCCCCGUGCCGCGGGCCCGCCGCCCGCCGCCCCUACCUGCGCCGGGGCCGCGCCGCCAGCGCCGCACGGACAAAGGCGGCGCCGGGAGCCGCCGGCAGCGUCAGCCCGGGAGGGCCGCCCGCCGCCGGUGCAGCACGGGAGGUGUAGUCCUGCCGCUCCGCCCCGCUCGGCUCGGGGGGGCGGGCACCGGGAGCACCGCUGUGUCCUUGCGGCCCCUGGCCCUGCCCGCCACCCCUGGCCACUCGGGUCCUCUGCAAAUGGAGUCCUGGGCUCGGGGGCACCGAGACACGGCGGGACAUGCCGCCUGGUGGCGACAGGCCGGGUGGCUGUUGGCAAACAUUCCUUUGCCUUGUCUACUCGGAGGGGUCCCAUCUCCCCUUCCCAGGUCAGAGUCAUCACUGUGUCCCAUCAUCGUGAAAGCCACAACCCUGGUGGCAGCACCAGCCAAAAAGCCAAGUGUUGACUCACAUCAUGUGUCUGCUCUGUAGGUAAUUAGAGUCUGGCGGCUGGAAGAUCUCGCACUGUAGAAAGUUUCUACUUUCUGUAGAAAGGUAGUAGCCCCUCCCUAGGUAGGUAGAACCGUGAGGUAAGCAGACGGAAGUGACGUUGUAAACUCAAGGUAUAUAAUGCUGUGUUACCUAGCAAUAAAUGCCAUUUGCCGUCCGCCACAUUGGUGUCUGCGAGCUGAUGGACCGAGCGACCUGGGGUUGGUCGCCGUGCUGUUCCUGAACCAGGUCGCCAUUGCCCCCCCUUAGAGGCAACACGUGGUGCCGAAACCCGGGAAGAAUCGCCUGGACUCAGGUGAACAGCGGCCGCAGCGGCAGGACCGGCCCGGCGGGGGGGACGCCCCCAGAGCCGCGAGGAGGAUGGAAGCCCUCGUGAAGGUCGUAUCUCAGUUACAUAAACAAUGGGGUAUUGAUUGUAAGGCUAAAGAUUUUACUCUCGCAGUUGCGAGGCUUUUACAGAUUGGGGUUAUUGAACAACCGGUGGAAAUUCUUCACCCGGAGGUGUGGGACAAGUGCACUAAAGCGCUUGCUGAGGAAACGAUGUCCUCGGGUAGUGGGAAAAACCUGAAGUCGUGGGGGAAAGUUGUAGAGGCUCUGCAGAAGGCUAGACGAGCGCAGGAAACCUGGAAGGCUGCACAGGCUUGUUUGUUGGCCUCCCCACAACUGGGGGUCGGGGCGGCUACGCAGACUAUGCACCCCCCAGAAAGUGACGGUCCCGCAGAGCCUAAAGGUCUGCGAGAGGGCGACCCCCCCGGGGCAGCCACGCAGACCCUGCACUCUCCACAGAAGGACGAUCCUGCUGAGCCCAGAGAUCAGCGAGAGGGCGAAAACGAGGCACAGGAGCGAGCUAAAUCUUUUUGGGGUGGUUUAGUCGAGGAAGCCAGGCGUGCUGCUGAGAAAUCAGAGUCUGAGGGAGUCGGGACGAGACCCCUGCCGUAUGCGCCCCAAGAUGGCGUCCAGCGCGCAGGGGAGGAACGGGACGAGGGUGUCCUUGGGGGGCACGGGGAGCCAGUGCUGGUAGCGAAUGUGGAGAAUGACCGUGCAGGUGCGAUCGAACGCGUGGAAGUGAACACUAGAGGACUGAACUUUGGGGGCGGCGGAGGCGCGGACAAGGGGCAGAGAGCCAAUCGGGGCGUCUAUGUGGAGCGGUGCCACUGGGGGGUGGACGCCUCCCCGAGCAGAAGGCGGGGCGAGCCAAGAGGGAGGGAACAGCCCGCCCACAAGGGUGGUGGGUGGAACUGAAGCAGAGAGCAGCCCACCCACAAGGGUUCCGACUCCGAUUCAGAUACCGAUUCAUAUUCGGAAGAGGAAAUGGGGACAAAGAGAAUUAAAAGCAAAAAUAUCCCCUUCCGAAAUAAAGCGGAACCGCGAGGGGGAAAAAUUCCUCUUACGGAUUGGAGGAAGAUUAAGGGGUCCAGCAUCGCAGACAUAAUCAAACAUGUCGUGAGAGAAGAGCACCUAGCCCUGAUCCAGGCAGCUGUUUGCACCGCAAUAGCUAACAUGAUGGUAUGUUUUAAAUGUGGCCAGGCAGGCCACAUCACAGCAAAUUGCCCUCAGCUGGGGGAUCCAUCAACAGCGCUCCCCCAACACCAGAACUGACCCAAAGGACCGUGCUGGGCCUGUGGAAAGAGAGGGCACUUUGCCAGGGAAUGCAGAUCUAAGACCCAGGGAAAAGGGAGGGGGAGAGGGCAACCGGGCUGUGCACAGCCCUCUCCCACCUGGGAUAUGAGGCGGCCCAAUUAUGCCAACCCCACAUGGAGCGCGGCACUCCCGAACUCGGUGCUUCCAAACCCGGUGCCUCAAAAACCAGUUCCCUCAAACCCACUGCCUCCUCAACAGGUGACCAACUUUGCAGCACAACCAGUUGUCCAGCCAAACCUGCCUUCAUCUCAGGGACAGCAAGCACCACCCCCUGGGGGCGAGACCCCAGGGUGGCUCUGGCUGUAAAGUGUGAUAGCUCGCCAGUGGUGUGGGGGUUCUGCUCCCUUUAUAAUACCCCAAAUAGCACCACCAUUAGCGUCCCCUUCUUGAUCGAUACCGGAGCAGACGUUACAGUUAUCCCUGAGAUGAACUGGCCUCCGUGUUGGGAACUGGAAGAUGCUCCUAUGGUGGGCGGAGUUGGGGGACUAACCCAAGCUCGGAAGAGUGUUCAAUUGGUUGCAAUCACACUUCACACAGAAAAGGGAUAGGAAAAAAACAUUACUCUCUUCCCGUAUGUCGUGCCAGGAGUCCCACCCCUGUUGGGAAGGGACGCUUUAGCCUUGUUGAAAGCCAGGGUGACAAAUUUACCGUGAGGGCCACUGCCGCAUACCCGCUUCCACCGAUCAAACUGACGUGAAAAUCAUCCAACCCAGCGUGGGUCGAGCAGUGGCCCCUGUCAAAGCCUCGAAUGGAUGCUCUUCUCGAGUUAGUCGACCGCGAACUGCAGCGGGGUCACAUAGAGCCUUCUACCAGCCCCUGGAACACUCCUGUCUUUGUAAUACCCAAGCAAACCGGUGAAGGGUUUCGUCUCCUCCAUGAUCUACGUGAAGUAAACAAAACAAUUCAACCAACGGGUCCUGUUCAAACGCUGUUGCCCAUGAACUCUAUGAUACCAAAGGGACAACCUUGCACCAUCCUUGAUAUUAAAGACUAUUUUUUUCUCAAUACCUUUGCAUGAAGAAGACAGGAGCGGUUUGCUUUCUCUAUCGUGUUUCCAAACAGCCAACGUCCUAACCUACGCUUCCAGUGGAAAGUGCUGCCUCAAGGAACGAUCAACUCGCCUACCAUCUGCCAGAUCACGGUGGAUCUGGCGCUGGCACCGGUUCGGCGCAGUGACCCGACCGUGACAAUCAUUCAAUACAUGGACGGCAUCCUGAUCGCCGCGCCGUCAGGGAGUCAGGUGGACCAGCUGGUAUCAACAGUCUCAGAAACCCUAAAAACUAGCAGGUUCGAAAUCGCGAGUGCAAAAAUUAAAAAGGGACCAUGUGUAAGCUUUUUGGGAGUGGGGAUCACAAGUUCUUACAUAACCCCUCCCCAGAUAAAAAUCCGUCGGGGUGCCAACACGCUUCAUGAUGUGCAACAAUUAGUGGGAUCCUUACAAUGGCUCCGUAACAUUGUCCUGAUUCCUCCCGAGACCAUGGUUCCCCUGCAUGAUCUUUUAAAAGGAAAAAACCUGUGGGAGCAGAAGACCCUGACAACAGAAGCAAUGGACUCUCUCGAUUUUAUCGAGCAUCAAAUAUCAUCAAGCACGCUUGCCAGGUGGAACCCACACGAACCACUAGAUCUGUAUGUAUACUUCACAGAAGGAGGGGGAGUAGGGGCACUAGCCCAGGGCCCCCAUGAAAAAGCUCGACCAAUACAGUGGAUAGUCCUGGGAAAACCGUCACACUCAUUCUCUCCAGGAGUCGAGUGCCUUGGCAACCUCAUCAUGAAAGGCCGAAAACUUGCCCUAAGGCACCUAGGUAUCGAACCUGCCAGGAUAUAUUUACCCUUGCGCAAACAGUUGUUAACGCAAUCAGUGGCGAUGUCGGCAUCUCUGGCCGUGGCCCUUGCCAGAUUUCGCGGAGAAGUCCAUCACGCUAUCAAGCCCCCUUGGGCUCAAAUGCUGAAAAUUGCCAACAUCGACCUUCCACAGAAGAUCAUGGACUGACCCCAGCAGGGACCAACGGUCUUCACAGAUGCAUCUUCAGUGACCUCAACCGCAGCAGUGGUAUGGCAAUCGGGAGAAGAAUGGCACCGCAUUAAAAUGACCGACAGUACGCUUUCAGUCCAGCUAUUAGAAGCGACGGCCGUGGUACUGGCGUGUGGACUGUUCCCAAUGGAGCAUCUCAACAUAGUGACCGAUUCGAUGUUUGUAGCCAAACUUUGCUUGGCCAUGUCAGGGCCUGGCGUGUCAACAUCCACAGCUGCUCUAAUGCUAGAAGAAGAUCUUUCCUCCCGAAAAGGAACCAUAUCGGUCAUCCAUGUCAACAGCCAUGACCCAAUCAAAGGGUUUUACCAAAUCAGUAAUGAUAAAGCAAACGCCGCUGCAAAAGGGUUAUGGACACUAAGAGAUGCCUGUCAGCUACACGAGUCCCUCCACAUUGGAACUAAGGCUCUAGCAAAGAGAUGUGGGAUUUCGACCGCUGACGCAAAACACAUAGUAGCUACGUGUCCCCACUGUCAAAAAGCACCACUGUGGUCCAGUGGAGUCAACCCCAGAGGUCUCAAAGCCUCCGAGGUGUGGCAGUCGGACUUUACGCUCUGUCAGUUGCUGAGACCUCGAGUGUGGCUAGCAGUAACCGUGGACACAUAUAGCGGGAUGAUUGUAACUACACAGCACCUUAAGGCCAACUCCAAAGCAACCAUCCAACAGUGUUUGACAGCCAUGGCGUGGCUUGGUGUCCCUAAUCAGAUCGAAACAGACAAUGGUUUACAUUUUGUGUCCAAAUCAGUCCAGGCAUUCGUUCAGAAAUGGGGUAUUACUCUAAUACACGGUAUCCCGUGUAAUAGUACAGGACAUGCGAUGGUCGAAUGACCGCGUUCUUCCCAGAUUUUCCCAAAGGUGUGCACUACUCCAACUGCAUAUCUAGAAUCGUUACAGAUGGUACCAUUUCCUUUUAACAUUCACAGUGCCUGAUGGAGAGCAUACAGCUCGCAUGUCUAAGCUGACCCGUUAUUAGGCAACCUUCCCAUUUCCCUUCUCACCACCUUCAGUGGUGGCACACCCAUUGUGUCUUUUCCCUGAAGUACCCUUGAAGACCCAUCUAUGAAGAGGUGCAGCCCAUUGUCAGCUCUCCUUAGGAAAGCAGCAGGGUUUAAUUUCCUCCCACAAAUAGGAGUUUAUUCAUAAUUCUCUCUCCUUUCCCCUGCUACCCCAUUUGUUACAAGUGUGUCUUCGGUCUAAGAUCUUUUUAGGGAGAAAUUUAAAACGGAUAGGGUAGCUUCCAUUUUUAGUAAAAACUCGACGUCACGACCUCCUACUUUACCACUUACAUACCCUUUUACAAUUUAAAUACAUUUCCCACUUAAAAAAAAACACCACCACCACCAAAAAUAUUUUCAGCCCCUCUAAUUCUCCAAAGUGUAUUGAGUUUUCUUCCUUUAGUCACUUUUAACAGUUGCUGUUCUAGGGGUAAAUAUCUCAGAUUUCCACAACAAUACCAUUCCAUUGUCUCUCAUUCUCUCACUUUUAUCACUUUUAGACUUCGGUUUAAAUCCUCCCUGUUUUUUUCCCUUUCAAUCUUUAUCUUUCACUUGCAAAUUCCUAGCUAAAGCUGCUGCUAACAAAUCAAUCUCCUUCAUCGUUCCGCUUCUCUUCCCGACCAUCAUACACAAACACGACCACACGCAGAAUUUUUGCAAUUUCUUCCUGCCAGCCUGGCACACGCUCUCUGAAACACUUCCCUAGAUCCACAAACACACUUGCUACCAGUUCAUUACAAAGCCUUCCCAAAAUCUUCCCCUGUCGGCACUAGGGUGCUCCUCUGGCUUCUGUUCCUGUACUUCAGUUCUAUUUACUCUUAUCUCCUCAAACAUGGAAAGCUCUUAGCAGAUUUUUAACCACUGUUUGGCAAUUUUCUCCAUUUGGUUGAUUAUCAUAAUCUCAACUACAAUCACCUUUUGACCCGGCAGUCCAGUUUCCCACUGUCCAUAGGGUUAAUUCCACAUUCAUUUAAUUGAUCUUUCUGGACAGACCAGCUCUCUCAAUAACAGGAUAACGUCAGCUCAGGAUGGAUUAUAACCCCUCCCAAUCAAAAUUAGAAAAUUAAAAAAUAACGAUGCACAUCGAUCCCCGUCUUCCCUUAACUUAAGAGUUCGAUUUCCUCACAUAAUCGAAUCCCCAGGUGCCAGGGGUGAUGGUGCAUCCAUGUAACACUGGAGGGCAUUCACAGGUACAUCCCCCCACCCACACUUCUUCCCCUACACACACAUACACACACACAUCUGCUGCUGGCUGCGCUGCAAAAUCACUUUAGCAAUCCCAGAGUAAAGCCCAACUUUACAACCUAUAAAGUCAUAAAAGUUUACAACUCAAAGUUACAAAGCAGGUAUGUUUAUUUCGACGUUGGGCGCAAGAGGGAUUGUUCCACCAUUCAUGCGCAACUUCUAACAAUAUGUGGUGUGUUUAAGUACAGUAAGGUGUUACAUAUUUAUAAUGACCCCAGGAACACCUCUACAUAUUCAUAACCUUUCCCGCUUCUUAUUAAAAUGAGUCUCAGAUACCCAUUUCCAUAGUCUCCUCCCUGACCCUCCCCUGUUGCGCCUGCGCACUGUCACUUGGUGAUUUUUAGGAGGGGUCUUUGAGGGUCUGUGGAUGAAGGCUCCUUCAGCUUCGUCACAGUGAACUUUGUACCUUUGGCUCAUUAUGUUGAAUUGACUGGAACCCAAGCUGCCAAGUCGACCAAAACAAGACUGGCGCCCCCUUUUGCUGUAAAUCUUGGUUGUCUUGUCUCCUCAAGUUUACAGUUAGGUGCAGUAAAACUUAUUUUGGCAUUCGAUUGGGUUCUGUUUUUCUUAACAUAAGUUUACAUAAAGCUCUAAACUAAGCACUUAUUGUGUGGCUAAGCCUUAAAGUGUUAGUUCAUUAGUAGGCACCCAUUAUAUGUUUAGUUAACCCUUAAAAUGUUAGUUCCCUCUAUCAGUGAUACAGAGAGCAGAGCGCGGGGUGUUGCAGAGACCAGCUCUGCAAGCACCUCAGUUAAAUUCCUCACAGCUGUAGCUAAAAUUCUCUCUCGAGGUUUCUAUACCUGUUUUUGAACUUCCUCUUUAUGGUGGUCAUAUUCCCAAUCAUCCUAUACAUACCAGUAAUUCAUUUGUCCAGGACAUCUCUUUUCUAGGUGAUUUUUAGUUACAAUUUGCCAGUCUUCUCAAUAUAAGGUCACUGCAGGCUUUUCUUGACAAUCAUCUUGCUGUUCCAUUAAUAUUUUCCCAAUUUUGCAAUGCCUCGGCCAAGGGCGUCCCCUUCUCUAUGCCGAGUUUUAUUUCCCAUCCCGUUGAGUCACGAGGUUCAGAAAGGACCGCCUUGCUUUCCAGACUCUUUCAGAGAGGAGUUUAGGUGCGGCUGGAUCCAGUCCUAGUCUCAGACUUGGUCAAUGGUUUAUGUCUAAAGGAUAUUUUCCCAUUCUCAAGAGAGACUUGAACCCCCUCUUGUGUGCACUUUACACUGAUCAGGCCACACACUUUGCACUCAUAAACAUGCUGCAGCAAGGGAGGAACACGAACCCACCCUGGUAUGGAGGAAGAUUUAAACUCCCUACAGUUUUUAUAUGUACCAAUUUAGAUCCUGGCACAGACAGUCGUCUUCGGAUCUGUAUUUUGGCCAGAAUACCUUCCGCUCUAUUAUGGGCUCUUUUGUCCAGAGAAAACACCAUGCUUUAUCAUUUUUUAUUCAUCCUUCCGUUUUUGUAUGUCACACGUUUCCCCAAUAGCUUAACACCCUCCCUAAAGUACUGUAUGGAGGAACGUAAUCAUUUUUCCUUCACAUUUCCCAUUCUGAGUCCCGAGGCUUCUCCUUCCGCCUCAUCUCCCCUCUCAGAUUGCCCCGACCACCAAGUCUACUUUCUUACCUUGCUCUGUGCACAGAGUUCCCUGGUCGCUUGUAUUGUGCCUACCACUUUUUCCUUUCCCCUUUCUCCUAUGGAUUGCAGGGAUCCGCCUUUUCCAAUACAGCCUCAGGAUUUCUGUUGGUCUCUCCUGGAGUCCCCACUGAUGAUCCACAGGACCGUUGAAAUCAAUGGGGCACCCCUUCCUGUCCUUCGGCGAUAGGGACCCCCGAGAUGACGAUGUCUCUCCCGGUCGAGCCCCCAGAUCUGUAGGAAAUAACGCUUUUGCAAAUAUGAUAGGCCCAGGCAGCAUUUUUAAUAACGAUUUUGCAAGGCUGGGUGUUCUACAUAAAGACAGACAGAGCUAAUAGGGCAAAAAGCUCCUGCUUAAAUUCCUCCAAAAUCCCAGCCGCAAUUUCCCUUCCCUGUUCCCCAUUGGUUGGUACUGCAGGGUUUACUGACUAUCCGGACGCUUGCCUCAAUUUGCAUACCAUACCCUUCCCCCUAAAUUAACUUGUAAAUACAGGCAUUAGUAUGUAUACAGGUAUCAGUAUAUAUUCCGGGAAGAGACUGUGUUUUACAUUAUGGAUUCCUGCUCCGAUGUCUCUCGGUCCUUCCCCCCUGCUGGGCUCAGGCGCCAGGAACUCAGUUCUGUAAAAACAACAGUUCUGCGUUAAACGUUCCCUACAAUUUUAUUCCUCUUCUUUUUACUUUUGUUGGUUUUGCAUUAUCUUAUGAUACAGUGUGGUAGGUGGCUUAAAGCUGGGACAACAUAAUUUCACAUUUUUCUCCAGGAGUUAUACAUUCAGCAUUGCUUCUUUCUUCUUGUUCUUUUAGCAGCAUCAUUUUAUCAGAGCACGGCAGUGGCCCUAAAGGCAUACCUUCCCAGUGGGGAGUAAAAUGGAAUGAAGUGUCAUCUUCCCACAGUUCCACCAAAGAUCCACUCAAGAAGCAUUUGAGAACGUAUGAGGACCAACUUCCCGUGACUCUACACACCUCCUCAUGUUCCUCGGAACUGCCGCGAACUCGCAAGUGGCGCCCGAACAGGGGCUCUCGAAGGAGCGGCUGAAGCAGAGGGGCACCGGGAAGCAGCGACCGGGGGGUCAAGAGCGACUGAACACUGCGUGCGUCGGUGUGUCGUCUCCGAGGACCUGAACUGAAUUUAGGAGUUCGCCGUCUGUGUGGGCUACAAGGCAAGGGCUGCAGGUGGUGCCAGGUUUACAAGGUACCAAGGAUUAUAGGGUAAGGUGCUUUUUUUUUGCCUAAGGGCAGGUAUCAGGACUUUUUUUUUUUGCCUAAGGGCAGGUAUCAGGAUUUCUUUUGCCUAAGGGCAGGUAUCAGUAUAUGGAUAAAGGAACUAUGGAUUUAGAAGUAGCCCAAGAUUUAUUACAGCGCUUUGUAGAAAAGCGGGGGUGGGGGGGGGCGGUGAGUGUAUCAAGCAUCUAGCUGGUCUAGUUGCAGUAGGUCGAGUGAAAGGUUGUUUUUCGAAUACUGAUUCGCUCUUUGAUGUGUCGGAAUGGAGAAAAUUAGGAGACAUACUAUGGGAUAUGGUUAUAGAUGAUGAUAAAUCAGCGAAGAGCGUCAAAAGACUAUUAACUUGGUGCAGAGGCAAUGGGUAUCCUGCUGACCUGUCAGGAGUUUUUCAAAUAGAGACUUGGAAAAAGAUGGGAACUGUGUUGUGGAAGGCAAUUAGUCACGGUGAAAAAUAUAUUCUCGGCCUUGUAACCAUCUGCAAACUGAUAAAUACUACAGUGAAGUAAUUAAAACCUGAAAAGACUGUUAGGAGCAUUAGUGACUCAAAACUUAAACUUGAACUUUGGGACAGUAUAGAGCAGAAAUUAUGGGAUAAAGUCAGCAAUGGAGAUAAAGAAGCUAAAUCAUUAGUAACUACAUGGAAGCUUGAACGGUCUGCUGCUGCCGGAAUAUUUGCAGCGUUGCAGCCUGAUAAGUAUCCUGAAAGUUGCUGUGAAGUUCACCCAGUUUGUGUCUGCGAUACCCUCCCUAUUCCAUCCCCUGCUGUGCUUUCAGCACCCCCGAUGGUUCAGCAGUCUGGGGCGGGGGGAGGAACAAUGCCGAACAGGUAGCCUCCUGUACCAUCAUCUAACCCUGGUGAGAACAGCAAGUCCAGAGGAUUGGUGUCAGACAACUUACUCAAAGAACCUGUGAAAGCUGAGAAUGCUAAAGUCGUAAACAAGUGUGUUAUCAGUCCUUUUACCAGUUUUACCAAUCUGCUUUUACUGCCUUUUAACCCUCUAACUUCCACGAGAGAACAGAAGAAGUCACUGGAUAAGAACUGGACAACAGAACUGUGUGACAGAUUAGAUCAGCCAACAGCAAGUCAAUCCGACAUUCGGCAAUGUGGUCAUGAUAAUCGUGAUGAGAAAGGGGGUGCUCCUGGGGACUCAGGGUAUAAAACUUGGAAGUUAAGGAAGCACAGGUGUUGAAAUUAGCAGUAGAGAAUGCUAAUGUUUGCUAUCAACAUGUUAUUUGCGAGUUUUACAGUACAUAUAAUGUGCUCCUGUUUAUUGCCUCUGAAAAUCAAGCAGCUUGUCAGGAAUGUGAGUUAAUUGUUUUACUGGUUGUUGAUAGAAUUGUUUCUUUGUGGUAUAAGUACAUCAUAAAACUUUCUCUCCACUUUUCCCGCUGACGCUGCAAGCAGCCCUGUGCUUUUCCAUGGGGUCAGAAAUGACUGUUUUCAGUCGUGUUCAUAAAAAAUCGGUAUUGGGAGGUGUUUCAAAACAUAGGGAAGAACUUGGAAAUAUGAGGAAAGAAGAUCUUGUAAAAUAUUGUAAUUAAUGGUGGCUGCUGUAUAAGUUAAAUGAUUGGGAAAAGUGUCCGGUGAAUAGAAUCUUGAAGUAUAACACCUUGUUGCAAUUAAUGUUGUUUUUAGGGCGAGAAGAGUAGGACAAAAUAAAUCCUUACCAGAGAUCAUUAAAUCAUUUCAGACAGCUGAGAGAGAGUUAACUGAUAACAUGCAGGUCACAGUAAACUUGCCGAAGUCUGCACAAUGUUUUCCUUAUUAGCCUGUUUUCUUUGUGGGUAUCUGUUUAAGCACUUGCAAUUUUGGUAGGUCUUUGCUAUAUGGUAUGAUAAGUUCACAGACUGUUAAAGCAUGAGAAUCAGUUGACUCAAAAGGUGCGUUUUGUGAUAGUACAAAAGAUCAUGAGUAAUUUAGUUCCUUACUGCGUGAACCUGAUGUUAAGAUUUUAUGUGUAGUAGCUGUUAUAGUUUUUUCUAGCGUACCAGCUUUAUUCCAAUAUCCAGACUUGCGCAGAUCUGUGACAGACUGUCUCUCAUCUCGGUGCACUAAAUUUGGCCUUUUUGUAUGCACAUCAAGUAAAGAACCCUGGUUUUAGAAUAACAGUUGUUGCGCACCAGAUGAGACACUAAAAAAAGCCUUGCCCAGUCCAGCUCGCUGCAGCGGUGGGGGGGCAGGUGUCGGUUGGGCUCCAGCGCACACUGGCCUAUUUUGUCAGGGAGACCCAGCGGCACCGCUACCUGGCUGAGCAGUAAGAGGUUCAAAGGUGCAAUGCAAAAAUUGAGAUAUUGUCUUGAAUAAGUGUGUGAUCCAUCUGCAUAUUGGAACUUGGUAUAUGGUUUUCACAUCUGAGCUCAGUAUUUUAGUUUGCAUAUUCAUAUUUGGUACCAAAAGAAUCUUGUUUGGGGAGAUAGUUACAAAAUGGGAACCGGUUCCACUGCCAAAAUUCCACCUUGCUCCCCCUUAGGAUGAAUCCUUACACAUUAGAGUAAUCGCUUAUACUGUUAGAAAAGCAUUUGAAUUCUUAAAAUACUAUGAUAGAUGUGAACUGGGGGUAUUGUAUGAAGUUAUGAAGUUGUAUUUAAAGGUUGCUGGAAUGUGAACUGAUUUGGAUCUAGGACAAUAGAAUAAUGGAUUUAUGUUUAUCAUACUGGUUUUUGACAUCUGUAAAUUGUAAAAGGUAAAUGGAGCUAAGGAAUGUAACUAUUGAUGAGCUACUGAGUGUAUUAUGGUUGGAAUGAAAUGGGAAAACAAAAGAGCAAAAUAUCCCAGGCCUCUGUGUAGGUUGUAACUGAGAAGUUUCCCAGAGCCUCCCACUUCGUACCAGCCACUAUGCCAGCUGCGUGACCUUGGUUAUAUCUAAACUGCAGCAAGAAAGGAAAAGCCUAGCUGCCCGUUUUUAAAGCAGUGACAGGGGGGUUCUCUCCCCCCCCCACUGCAGCGAUGUAAUACUGAAUAGAACAGUCUGAGGGUGAAGUUUAAAGGCAUCCUGAGCAGACCUGUAGUUCUAAUGAAACUGGAAAAAUAAACCAAAAAUUUGUUAAUAGACUUAUUCUAUGGUAAUUAGUUGUAAGAGACUUCUUAGUAAAUUCACCAUGCUAGUUUUUGAGGUCAUGGGACACAACGAAAGAAAGGCCGUUUUUUGAGACCAAUGGAAUGCCAGAUUUGGAACAAAGUUCCAAACAUAAAUUCUUGUAUUUGCCCAAAAGUCCUAUACCUCUCUUGAGUCAGGAUUUGUUAAGUAAAUUAUAAGCUCAAAUAACGUUUUCUGAGAAUUCUGUUUAGUUGCAUGUCUUACAAGAAGCUGCUUGGAUGGUUCAGAUCUGCUUGUGCAAGUGAGAAAUCUCCAAGGAAAUUUUGAAUGCUGUGUUUCCACUAGUAUUAACAGUAAAUGUUUCGAUAAAGCAAAUACUACACUGAGAAAUCUGAGACAGGACUCCGAUCCGGUAAGGGAAAACAAUAUCCAAUAAAUAUGACAGCCAAAAUGGAGUUGGAAACAUUGAGGAAUAAAUUUAUGACAACUUUACAGGCUGUCUGCAUUCGAUUGGACUUGCAGAUUUGUCUAUGAAACAAUCUGUGGCCAUUGUGGGACAGUAUGGUGAGAAUGCUAACAGACUGAUAUACCAAUUGUUACUCUAAUCAAGAAAAUGCAGGGAAUGAAUUUAAGUCUUAAUAGGCCAUGAUCCUUUUGUCAUAUAUGUACCAUUUGUGAAAUUGAAUUCUGAUUUUUUUUAUUUGUAAUCUAUGUCUUUGUAAAUAGCACUAGCUGGUUUUUUUAACAGCACAGCUUUUGGCAUGCCUAAAUGUAAAUUGCUGCAGAACCUGCAAGUCUUUAACAUCAGGCCAUAGGCCAUACUUGUAUCUGGUCUGAUCCUACAUACUUGCACAGUUUUGGUGGUGGUUCUGGGCAGUCUCAUAAAGCUGUAGUGGUUUGGUGUGGAGAUAACGAUUGGCAUCAUUCUGUAAAAAUUAUUGAAGGUUCAACCUAAUGAGCAGAACUUGGCUCAGCUUUAAAUUACUUAGAGCUUUUUAAGGAGGAACCUCUAAAGUUGAUUUGUGACUUCGAGUACGUAGUCAAGAUCUGACACACGUAUCUGGUUCCGAAACUUUGUUUGUUUGUUUGUUUUAAAAAAGAAGGGGGGAAGUAGGGGAAACACCACAAAACCAAUUGUCAAAAGCAUUGUAUGUGAUGAAAUACUUUGCAAAUAUGAUCCAAAACCAUGCUAAAUCAGAAAGAACCUACAUUAGUUAUGGUCAAAUCACUAGUCAAUGGAAAAGGCCUCAUCAAUUGAUAACCUGGGGAAAAGGUUAUGUUUGUGUCAUUACAGGCCAGGCUGAGGAUUGAAGUGGAUUCAACAAAGAUUCAACGGAUGUAGAUGGACAGGAGGGAGAUAAGUUGUGAGGGCUGUUUCAGAUGUAAACCAUGGAUCCUAAUUCAGUGUUAUCGAUGCUCACAGACCUGGUGGUCUAGAAGCCUAUUAGCAAGCAGGUGGUGUACCUUCUGUGGAGAAUGGCAAUUUGAACAAUCAGCAGGAGAUCCAAAAGGGUGAUAUUAUGAUCAGAUAGUCAAUGCAUAGAUAAGGUAAAAUGAUGAGAUGUCUCCACCAUAGUAAUCUAAGUUUAGCAACUGAUAAAGUUUUAGAAGGGAUAUUAAGGUUAAGCUAUUGAUCUUUUAAAUAGGUUAAGAUAACUUUUAAGAUAUUAAUUCAGUUAUUGGUAUAUACUGAUGGUAUUAAGUAUGUUACCCUAUAAACUGCGCAGUUAUAAAUGUUUUAGGAAUUUAAGAGAAUAUAUUGUAUUCACUUGUCUGGUUAUGUUGAAUCUAUUAAAAUAGUGUGUUAAUAAGGUUGUCAUAGUAGAAUUAAGGUUUUAAGAAUAGGCAGGUAGUAGUUUGAUCUUAUUAAGUAAGGUUUAACUGCAGUAGAUGUAAUUGUAAUUAUGUUGUUAAUCACAUGUUCUAUGUUGCAGUAUAUUUCAAAAAUGAUGCACCGUGCGGUUUAAGGGGCCUGACUAAUUCAGGAAAAGAAAGGGGGAAGUGUGGAGGGGUUUUGAUAGAUAAAGAUUUGUUGCUGAAUUAGUCAGGCUCAAAGGAAUCUCAAGGCCGCUUCGAGGAGUUGAGAACAGAAUCUGCUGUGAGAAAGAGGGGCGUUCCACAAUCACCGGGGUCCUGGCGUGGCGUGAAUCAUCAGAUAUAUCAUCAGUGAGACUACAGCGCAUGGACAGCCCAUGAUCCUCAUUUAGCGAAUCCAUGCUUGGAGCGUGGUCGCGUGAUUAGAAUAUAGUUACGUAUAUAAGGAGACUUGUUACUGUAAUAAAUGGCUUUAGCGUGAUUCACAUUGAA
Long non-coding RNA from Columba livia (rock pigeon), 14700 nucleotides. RefSeq lists it as uncharacterized. NCBI's taxonomy places the organism in Eukaryota, Metazoa, Chordata, Aves, Columbiformes, Columbidae. The transcript is spliced from 2 exons. The record is from RefSeq and is a predicted model, not a curated record.